Molecule: long non-coding RNA, 4033 nt
Filed under: Equus caballus (horse)
Lineage: Eukaryota; Metazoa; Chordata; Mammalia; Perissodactyla; Equidae
Description: lncRNA (ENSECAG00000054179.1)
Source: RNAcentral
GUGCAACUAGUCCUGGGUGAAUCAUCCUGCAGGCGUGGAUACAGCUGCCCUGCUGCCCCUUCGGCUGCCAGUACAGAUACAGACGUAGAACUGAAGCUCAGAGAAGCUGAGGGACGUGCCUAAGACUACAGAGCCAGAUAAUCCUAACUCUAGUAGCGAGUUGGCCUUCUGUUCUUGCUGUAAUACCAGAGUCAGGCAGGACAGCUUGUAAGUGUGCACAGGUUCAGGAAAAGGGCUCAGUCAACGGACCAGCAGCUUCGCCUACAAGUGCUUCUGCAAAGUGACAUCGAAGCGCGAUUACAUCUGCUAGUUUUGCUUCAGGCCACGAAGUAACAAACACAAUUGUUAUCAAGGAAUGAAUUGUGCAGAAGAAGAGCUUUGCCAUACUGUUUUCUCCAGGAAGCUGGUGAUGGAAAGAGAUGCUCCGUGCUCACGCCAUCCGCUCCUCGCCUCCUCCUCCAGCAACAGCACAGAGAAAGUCAGCAUUGGCUUCUUGAACGCUGAGCUCAUGAUUCUUUUCAUGGUUAGAUGCAGAUGCUCAAAAUUAAAUCUUUCAGAGACCUCAAACAAGGACGUUUCCCCCACCUCUGGAAAUCCCUCACUCAGCUUGAGUUGUUGUUGCUUCUGAAGGAGGCUUGUCCCCUCAGUGUUCCCCUCAGCUGCGCCCAGUGCCAUAGCUGGCUGGUCAAGAAGGGAUUUAAAGGGGCUCUAAGUCAGUGGGUUUCAAACUUGACUGUACUGUAGAAUCACCUGGAAAGUUUUAAACAAUACCCAUGCUUGGUACCACUGCCUGAGAUCCCAAUUUAGUCUGAGCACUUCUCUCUGCUAAAAAUUGGGCAGAAUUGAUCAUUUCAAGACUUAUUUUGGGAAUAAUUGUGCAAGAUUCCUGUUAAUGGGAUUUCUGGGAAAUCUGAAUGGACGCAAAGAGUGUGCGUGUGUGUGUGUGUGUGUGUGUGUGUGUGGUUGGGAGGGAGAGGGAAGUUUUAGAGGUCCCCUAACAUCAGUGUCCUCGCGAUGCUUCAGCCACAUUUCAUCCUUUCAGGUUGCAUGACUGCACACCUUCCCUUGCUGUUCCCUGUACCUGAAAACCUUUCUCUCCUGUCAUAGCCCCACUAGAGCCUUCUAUCUUGCUUCCUCCAGAAAGCCUCUCUGGGUCCCCUGGGCAGGGCUGGACCUCUGUUAUUCCCCCAAGGCAUUCUGGGCUUCUCCUUUAGAAUCCACGCCACAUGUUACUUGAUACCUAUUUCCACCCCCAAAUUAUAAGCACCAGGAGUACAAGAUCCUCCUCUGUAUUAGUCAGCUUAUAUCCUGCUGCCCAGCACUGUGCCUGGUACACAAUAAAUGGUCAAUAACCAUUUGCUGAACAAUUGAAUGUGGAUCAUUAUUUACUCCUCCCACUAUUUAGAUUGGAAAUGUCCUUGCUUCCAAUGGCCAUGCGACACCAGUGUCUAUAGGAUCCUGUAUUCCAGUGGUGGCAACCCGUUUGGUCUAUCUUCAAGGGCCCCUCUUGCUGGCCUUUGCCCUCUCUGUGUAAAGCAGGUAGCAGCAUACAGAGAUCAUCUCUGAAAGUCUGACCUCAGCUUGGGCUGGAAAGAGCACUGACAAGUCUAGAGAUGGGGGUUCAAGCUUGCCUCUCUUAAUAUAGUCUACUUGAGGGGUUGUGUGAAAGGUAUUUGAGAAAGCCUAUGGAAGUUCUAUUUAAGCAGCAAAAUGUUGAAUAAAUUGCGUUAGCCACCAUGUUCAGCACAGCGGCCCUUCUCUCAGGUCAGCACCUAAAGGACCUGCAGGCCCCAUUUAUUGGGUGCCCACCGACCUGUGAUACACAAGAACAUACUAAGGGUUGUCUGUACCCUGCAGGAACCACCAGUGUAGUCUCACCAUUUUGGGGUUAAAAAGUUAGCUACCCCAAGAGUCUGGAAGUUAUGAACAUCCUGUCUUCCUUGGGAUUAUAUCUCCUCGGGUACAUUUUACAUAGUAACUAUUUCACCUUGUAACUGUGUCUUUUCCUGGCCAAGUCACCUCCUACCUUUGAAACACCUUGUUUCUGAAUUAGAUGCAUACGUUAUUCACUCCUUUCUAUCUUAAGCACAUUUUUCAAUUCCUUUUACUCCAUCAGCCACCUGGGUCUGGACAGCCUGGGGUCAGGGUGGCAGCUGGCUUUGGAGGUGGUCAUCAGACUGCUGACCAGUUUUAUGUCCAAACUGAAAGAACUGAUCUCUCAGCAGAGUCAAAGAAGUUACGACAUCCUUUGGGCUAGAAUAAGGAGUCAAGCUUCACAUAGAAAUUUUGACACCCAGGAGUGGGUGCAAUUUUCUAGCUCUCCUCAAACUCCUCCCUCCUCCGCAAAGGCCCUCACUGGGAACAGAAUCCUUGACUUCCGGUGCCCCCAUCCUGUGCGUGAACCUGGCAGGAGUUCACUUAGGAGCACCAGGCUCCCCUCUCAGAAAAUGCCAUCAGUCCCAGCUCCUCCAAUGCCGUCCUGAGCAGUGCCUGGGAGGGCACUUCAUUUCUGUGAGCUUCUGUUUCCUCAUCUGCAAAUCAGGAGGAUGAGCUCCCUUGUCCACAAGGCCCCCUCCAUUCCUAACCCUAGUAAUAUGUAAUGACACUCGCACACCUAUGGCACUGAUUGAACAGACAGGGCUUUCCUUUUUUCUCUUUUUUUGACAAUAUUUGAAAUGAUAAAAAGACUAUUUUCUUUAUUCUUGGCUCUGAAAGGGUGAGACAAACCUCUAAUGUGUCUACUUAAAAGAAAGGAAAAACGUUAGCUCCUAGGAGAAUGUGAUAUAUAAACAUAUCACACUGCUUUAAUCUAUGCAAAAAUAUUCAAUUAUUCAUUGAGUUCCUAGUAGAUAGCAGACAUGUGCUAAAUAUUACACAGGAUUACUUAUGUACAUUCUUAAUCAGCCUUACCAUCCAAUUCUGUUCUACCUUACCACCCAAUCAGAGAAAGAAAAUCAUCCCUGAUGUGUACUAGAGGUAGGAUCUGGUGUAAACGUCACUGAGCCAGGAUUUAGGAGACCUCAGUACAGAGUGAACUACUUCUGUCUCUCUUUCUAGCUGGGACACGGCUCCCAUCCAAACAAAUUAAUUUCGGGCUCAAUCAUUGCAAUGGGUUCCUCCAAUCCUUUCCAGCUCUUAAAUUAUACCAUCUGCAAAAGACUGUUGCAAAAGAUAUCCACCUUCUUUAGCCAUUCUUUAAUUUGCAAUUCUUAAUGCAAAUUAAAACAAUAAGAUAUCACUACACACCUGGCACAAUAGCUAAGAUAAAUAUUGGCAACACCAAAUGCUGGAGAAGAUGAAGAUAAACUGGAUGCUUCCUACAUUGUUUGUAGACUAUAACAUGGUACAGCGCCUCUGGAAAACAGUUUGGCAGUUUCUUAUAAAACUAAACAUGCAUCUACAAUACAACCCCACAAUUGCACUCAUGCACAUGUAUUGCAGAGAAAUGAAAACAGGCUCAUACAAAAACCUGCACAUGCCUAUUCAUAGAUUUAUUCAUAUUAGCAUAAAAUAGGAAACAACCCAUAUGUUCUUCAGUGGGUGAAGGGUUAAACAAACUGUGAUACAUCCAUACUGUGGAAUAUUAUUCAGUGGUAAAAAGGAACAAACUAUCGAUACAUACAACAUCUUGGAUCAAUCUCCAGGGCAUUACACUAAAUGGAAAAAAACAAUGCCAAAAUGUUAUAUACUGUAUGCUUCCAUUUAUAUAGCAUGUUAAAAUAACAAAAUUAGAGAAAUGGAAAAUAGAUUAGUGGUUGCCAGGGAUCAGCGAUGGGGGAGGGGUGAAAUGGGAAGCUGGAUGUGGUAUAGUAUGUCAACAAGAGGAAUCUUUGUGGCGAUGGAAUUGUUCUGUAUCUUGACUGUAUCAACGUCAAUAUUUCGGAUAUCACACUUUAGUUUUCAAGAUGUUACCAUUGGGGGAAACUGGGUAAGGUUUACAGGUUAUGCAGUACAUAGGAUUUCUGUAUCUUAUUUCUUACCACUGCAUUUGAAUCUGCGAUCCCCUCAAAUAAAAAGUUUAAUUUAAAACAAA